This 305-nucleotide ribosomal RNA is filed under the name uncultured bacterium. RNAcentral's name for it is "bacterial SSU rRNA". It matches the Rfam family "Bacterial small subunit ribosomal RNA", at positions 337 to 658 of the family's 1533-position model. The record is from RNAcentral.
ACCUACGGGAGGCAGCAGUGGGGAAUAUUGCACAAUGGGGGAAACCCUGAUGCAGCGACGCCGCGUGAGCGAAGAAGUAUUUCGGUAUGUAAAGCUCUAUCAGCAGGGAAGAAAAAUGACGGUACCUGAGUAAGAAGCACCGGCUAAAUACGUGCCAGCAGCCGCGGUAAUACGUAUGGUGCAAGCGUUAUCCGGAUUUACUGGGUGUAAAGGGCGUGUAGGCGGGGAGGCAAGUCAGAUGUGAAAACCACGGGCUCAACCUGUGGCCUGCAUUUGAAACUGUUUUUCUUGAGUGCUGGAGAGGG